Molecule: ribosomal RNA, 930 nt
Filed under: Nemania sp.
Lineage: Eukaryota; Fungi; Ascomycota; Sordariomycetes; Xylariales; Xylariaceae
Description: SSU rRNA
Rfam family: Eukaryotic small subunit ribosomal RNA
Source: RNAcentral
UCUAAGUAUAAGCAAUUAUACGGCGAAACUGCGAAUGGCUCAUUAAAUCAGUUAUCGUUUAUUUGAUAGUACCUUAUUACUUGGAUAACCGUGGUAAUUCUAGAGCUAAUACAUGCUAAAAAUCCCGACUUACGGAGGGAUGUAUUUAUUAGAUUAAAAACCAAUGCCCCUCGGGGCUUUUAGGUGAUUCAUAAUAACUUCUCGAAUCGCAUGGCCUUGCGCCGGCGAUGGUUCAUUCAAAUUUCUGCCCUAUCAACUUUCGAUGGCAGGGUCUUGGCCUGCCAUGGUUACAACGGGUAACGGAGGGUUAGGGCUCGACCCCGGAGAAGGAGCCUGAGAAACGGCUACUACAUCCAAGGAAGGCAGCAGGCGCGCAAAUUACCCAAUCCCGACACGGGGAGGUAGUGACAAUAAAUACUGAUACAGGGCUCUUUCGGGUCUUGUAAUUGGAAUGAGUACAAUUUAAAUCCCUUAACGAGGAACAAUUGGAGGGCAAGUCUGGUGCCAGCAGCCGCGGUAAUUCCAGCUCCAAUAGCGUAUAUUAAAGUUGUUGCAGUUAAAAAGCUCGUAGUUGAACCUUGGGCCUGGCUGGCCGGUCCGCCUCACCGCGUGCACUGGUUCGGCCGGGCCUUUCCCUCUGGGGAGCCCUAUGCCCUUCACUGGGUGUAGUGGGGAACCAGGACUUUUACUGUGAAAAAAUUAGAGUGUUCAAAGCAGGCGUAUGCUCGAAUACAUCAGCAUGGAAUAAUAGAAUAGGACGCGUGGUUCUAUUUUGUUGGUUUCUAGGACCGCCGUAAUGAUUAAUAGGGACAGUCGGGGGCAUCAGUAUUCAAUUGUCAGAGGUGAAAUUCUUGGAUUUAUUGAAGACUAACUACUGCGAAAGCAUUUGCCAAGGAUGUUUUCAUUAAUCAGGAACGAAAGUUAGGGGAU